AUAUGUACACUCACGUAAGUAAAUUAACAUGUAAAAAAUAAAGCCUGUAAAGACAUUUCGGGCCUUUUACUAGGACUCACAAAUCAAAUUGUUGCAAGAGAUAUUUUUAGGGUUUGUUUAAUUCUGCAGCGACGAUGAAAAGCGACGAUGAGACGGCGAAACUAGCUUCGACGGAGGAGGAAACGAGUGUCGAAGAUGAAUACGACACAAGCAUGGAAGAGGAAAGCGAUAGCGAUAACGAAGGCUUAUGGAGUGUCGACGAAGAAGAAGAUGACGUCGAGAGAUCUCCGACAAUUAACUAUUCAAACAUGAUAGAACCGGAACCGGAGUGGGAUAAGGACAGUUACGAUGGUUACGAAUGCGUAUUCGAUCCUGACGGCCGUGAAGGCUUCCCCAACGACGAGGCGUACGAAGACUUCCGCGAGUAUAAGAUCCAGGCCUGGAAGAAUAGGGGGUUUUUAGAAGAUCCAUUCAGAUCCGUCUACCCCAUUUUAGAUCUGGAAGAUCUUUGGUCAGACAGGGUAAACGCGACUAGGAGGCAAUAUUUGACAAAUAUUGCUUCCCUAUGUGUUAAGAAACUCAAUGAGGAGAAGGGUUCGUCUGUGGAAGUUGUAAGCAUUGCGAGAAGCAAUCUAAAACCAGGAGGUGGGUAUAAGCUGUACAUCACCUUUAUGGCUCGAGAGUAUCCGGAUGGUCCUAUAGUGGAGUAUCAAGCCACCAAGGCAAUCGAUUUUGCAGGAGGCAGAAAACCUCCCUUUCCCAUUCUCUGCAGACCAGCCUCUAGCAUAUCCUAAUCUAUGACUUGCGUAAGGUUUCUUUAUUAUUCAGUGUAACUACUUAGUAGCUCUGAUAAUUUUGUUUGGAAUUACUUAUGAGCUUUUGUCAAUUUUUGUGGAGGAAUGGAUGUAAACAAAAAGUGAUUUUCUUAGUUAUGGGAAUAUUAUUAUUUUUAUGUAGUUUUUUGGAUGAUUGUCUUUCUGAAUUCAAAUAUUCACUCUUAAUCAUUGCAAAAUUGGUCUGUUGUUUUGCUGGUCUCCGCAUAACACAAAGAUCGAAGCUGAGUCCGAGGUAGGUUUCUUUUUUGUAUUAUUGUCAGAUAACACGGUCGUGUUUAUUUAACUCAUACGACGUUAGGUUGCUGAUUAAUAAGUUUCUGUUUAUUGGACUAAUAAACUUGUGGCAUUCUCUUGUGUAUUUGGAAGGUUUUUAGAUAAUGCAAGUUUUCAUCAGGAGACUAUACAAUGAAAGCUCUCAUCCAAGUAGUCUAACCGAGUCCUUAGUAUUAUUAUCACCAAUUCACUAUGAGAGGAUAAUUAUUUCCCUUAACAAAAGUAUUUCUGAGUGCUGAUUUUUCGUGCUAAGUGUUUUAAUUCAUUCAAAGAGAAGAGACAUUUUAAAGAUCAAGGUCACUGAGAAUGGAUAUUUAUUGUACUGAUUGAUUAGCUUGGCAGGUUUGUGAGGUGUUUGUACACGCAAACAUAAAGUAAUCUUAUUUCUUUACGGUAAAAUGAGGAGAAAAGGACAUGCAAUACGUAUCGAUUGGUUGAACAUACUGACCUGUAAUGAACCGAACAGGCUUAAGAUGAAUAUAAUUCUAAACUACGACUGAAAAGUCAACACUCGUUGAACGGCUCUGAUUUAAUGUUUGCUGAGGGAUAUUUAUAGGGUUUGUUCGAUGAAGAUGUCAAGCGACGAUGUGACGCCGAACCGAUCUUCGACGGAGGAGGAAUCCGACUCUUCUGUCUCGAAAAAGCUGAAAGUCGAAGAUGAAGACGACAGAAACAUGGAAGACGAAAGCGAUACCGACAGCCGACAAGCAUUGAGUGUCGAGACAGAAGAGGAUAUGAUGAAGGAGUCGUGAGACCUCCUAGAAAUAAUUUUUUUAACAUGCAAGACCCGGAACCGGAGUGGGACAAGGACAGCUUCGAUGGUUACGAAUGCUACGACCCUGAGGACCGUGAAAGCUUCUCCAACGACGAGGAGUACGAAGAGUUCCGCGAAUUUAAGUUCCAGGCCUGGAAGAAUAAGGGUUUUUAUGAAGAAGGUCCAUUCAGGUACAUCUUUCCCCUUACUGAUCUGGAACAACGUUUUAGAAACAUGACAACAAGGGAAUAUUUGGCGGAUAUUGCUUCCUUGUGUGUUAAGAAACUCAACGAGGAGAAGGUUAGUACUCAUCAAUUCAAAUAUAUAUUUUUAUUUUGUUUUAAUUUGAUGAGAAUCUCACAGAUAGGAUGAACGUGUGUGUAACUUACUUAGGUCUGUGGAAUUUGUAAGUAUAGUGAGAGGCAAUCUAAAAGCAGGAGAUGGGUGGAAGCUUUACAUCACCUUUACGGCUCGAGAGUAUCUGGAUGGUCCACUCGUGGAGUAUCAAGCCAAGGCCAUGGAUUUUGCAGGAGGUGAAACACCUCCCUUCCCCAUUAUCUGCAGACCAGCUCCUUCCAUGUCCUAAUGACUUGCAUAGGUUUGUCUUCAUGUCAGCUAUGUCUUUGGCGCUUGUACGGUAUAAAUAUGUAGUUUAAUAAUGGUCUAAAUUAUGUUUAGUGUUUAUUUGCAUCUUUGACAUUUAAAUAAGGAGGAUAUUUAUACUCGACAUUCUUGCAUUGAGGGGAGAUGUUUACUGUUAGAUAACAUGAUCAUGAUAAAUCUGAUGUUUAUAUAACUCGUAUAACGUUAGGUUGUUGAUUAAUAAGUUUCUGUUUAAUUGGACUAACGAAUUUUGGGGCAUUCUCUAGUGUAUUUGGAAGGUGAUGCAAAUUUUUUCAUCAUCUGAAUAUACAAUGAAAGCUCUCAUCGCAGCAUGAUCCAAAAUCCCAGUGGUCUAAUUGAGUCUAUGAUAUAUAAUCACAAAUUCACCAUGAGAGGAUGAUUCUUUCCCUAACAAAAUUAAUUUCAAGAUUGUGAUUUUCGUAAUGACUACUUUCCUACCUGCAAUGACCAAAUAUUUUAAAGAUCAAGGACGGUCAUUGAGACUCGAAAGUUAUUUUACUGAUUAGCUUGGCGGGGUUGGUCAGGCACUUUCUUCAGUGUUCUUUAAGUCACGCCGUGGUCUACCAAUUAUUUAUUUAUUUAUUUCUUUGAUAAAAAUGUGAA
Brassica napus (rape) is the source of this 3090-nucleotide RNA transcript. RefSeq lists it as uncharacterized. NCBI's taxonomy places the organism in Eukaryota, Viridiplantae, Streptophyta, Magnoliopsida, Brassicales, Brassicaceae. The transcript has 4 exons. The record is from RefSeq and is a predicted model, not a curated record.